This is a non-coding RNA of Microtus oregoni (creeping vole), 387 nucleotides long. The record is from the annotation of a RefSeq genome assembly. NCBI's taxonomy places the organism in Eukaryota, Metazoa, Chordata, Mammalia, Rodentia, Cricetidae.
AACAUGGUGUCACAAACCCAGGUUAUCCUGUCCCUGCUGCUCUGGGUGUCUGGUGCCUGUGCAGAUAUUGUGAUGACCCAGUCUCCAUCCUCCUUGGCUCUGUCAGCAGGAGAGAAGGUCACCAUCAGCUGCAAGUCCAGUCAGAGUCUUUUAUUUUUUGGUACUAACUCCUUGGCUUGGUACCAGCAGAAACCAGGACAGGCUCCUAAACUACUGAUCUACUAUGCAUCCACUCGGCAAACUGGGGUCCCUGAUCGCUUCACAGGCAGUGGAUCUGGGACAGAUUUCACUCUCACCAUCAGCAGUGUUCAGGCUGAAGACGUGGCAGAUUAUUACUGUCAGCAAGCUAACCAAGCAGCGUGGAGUUUCGUUCUGGGCACCCAGUGA